Molecule: ribosomal RNA, 439 nt
Filed under: uncultured bacterium
Lineage: Bacteria
Description: partial 16S ribosomal RNA
Rfam family: Bacterial small subunit ribosomal RNA
Source: RNAcentral
CUACGGGGUGCAGCAGUGAGGAAUAUUGCACAAUGGGGGGAACCCUGAUGCAGCAACGCCGCGUGGAGGAUGACGCAUUUCGGUGUGUAAACUCCUUUUAUAUGUCAAGAAAAUGACGGUAGCAUAUGAAUAAGCACCGGCUAACUCCGUGCCAGCAGCCGCGGUAAUACGGAGGGUGCAAGCGUUACUCGGAAUCACUGGGCGUAAAGGACGCGUAGGCGGGUUGGAAAGUCAGGUGUGAAAUCCUACAGCUUAACUGUAGAACUGCACUUGAAACUUCUAAUCUAGAGUAUGGGAGGGGGAGAUGGAAUUAGUGGUGUAGGGGUAAACUCCGUAGAUAUCACUAGGAAUACCUAAAGCGAAGGUGAUCUCCUGGAACAUUACUGACGCUAAGGCGUGAAAGCGUGGGGAGCAAACAGGAUUAGAUACCCCCGUAGUC